This is a long non-coding RNA of Hyla sarda, 721 nucleotides long. RefSeq lists it as uncharacterized. The record is from RefSeq and is a predicted model, not a curated record. The transcript is spliced from 4 exons. NCBI's taxonomy places the organism in Eukaryota, Metazoa, Chordata, Amphibia, Anura, Hylidae.
CUAUACUCGAAUAUUAAUACUGACCUCGGCCUGAUGGUGAUUCAAGAACUCCUAUAUGAAAGGACAUCGUAGUUUUCAAGCUUCUGUGACAUAAUUCAUAUGUUCAGCCCAUGCAUCUUGGCGCACUGUUCACAUUCACAUACGGGGUUAUGGUUCAUUGCGUCUCGCAGUGCAUAGCAACGACGCAGGGGAUGCCACACCGGAGGCCAGAAGCAGUGCGGACCCGACCCCGGCAACAGAUACAUCAGAAUGCUAAAUGCAAAACAUUUAAUCUUAUCGCUUUGCCUGUAACUAAGAAACCUUGGGAUGGAGACUGAAUACAGGACGUCUAAACAUUGGACUUCGUGGAAAGAUGAAGAAAUCUCAAGCAAGAAGUCUUGCAAGAUAAAGACUUAUGCCACGCCACAAAUGACUAAUCAACAUAUAGAAUGACGCAUAGUUUUAUCCUUCAACCCAUAUACUCAGAAUAUUGUCUGCUCGUGACUCUGGACUGAAACCUUGUCAUGACCCCAUGCAAAGACUAAACAUCUGAUGAGCAGAGAAGUUUUUCCAAGAAAUUAAUGGACACUAGAUAUGCUAAUAUAUACGGACGCAAUAUUUGAACAACCAAUAAAACUGUAACAUAUUAAUUGUGAUGUCAUGAUCAAUCCUCCUACUUUGCAAAAUGUUAAAACUAACUGUUUCUUCAUGAAUUAAAGCAGAGCUCCCUGGGGUACCGAGG